UGCAAGUCGAACGGAAGGCCUUUUCGGAGGUACUCGAGUGGCGAACGGGUGAGUAACACGUGGGUGAUCUGCCCUGCACUCUGGGAUAAGCCUGGGAAACUGGGUCUAAUACCGGAUAGGACCGCACUUUAGUGUGUGUGGUGGAAAGUUUUUUCGGUGUAGGAUGAGCCCGCGGCCUAUCAGCUUGUUGGUGGGGUAAUGGCCUACCAAGGCGGCGACGGGUAGCCGGACUGAGAGGUUGGUCGGCCACAUUGGGACUGAGAUACGGCCCAGACUCCUACGGGAGGCAGCAGUGGGGAAUAUUGCACAAUGGGCGCAAGCCUGAUGCAGCGACGCCGCGUGGGGGAUGACGGCCUUCGGGUUGUAAACUCCUUUCGCCAGGGACGAAGCGUUUUGUGACGGUACCUGGAGAAGAAGCACCGGCUAACUACGUGCCAGCAGCCGCGGUAAUACGUAGGGUGCAAGCGUUGUCCGGAAUUACUGGGCGUAAAGAGCUCGUAGGUGGUUUGUCACGUCGUCUGUGAAAUUCCACAGCUUAACUGUGGGCGUGCAGGCGAUACGGGCUGACUUGAGUACUGUAGGGGUAACUGGAAUUCCUGGUGUAGCGGUGAAAUGCGCAGAUAUCAGGAGGAACACCGAUGGCGAAGGCAGGUUACUGGGCAGUUACUGACGCUGAGGAGCGAAAGCAUGGGUAGCAAACAGGAUUAGAUACCCUGGUAGUCCAUGCCGUAAACGGUGGGCGCUAGGUGUAGGGGCCUUUUGGGGUUUCUGUGCCGUAGCUAACGCAUUAAGCGCCCCGCCUGGGGAGUACGGCCGCAAGGCUAAAACUCAAAGGAAUUGACGGGGGCCCGCACAAGCGGCGGAGCAUGUGGAUUAAUUCGAUG
This 884-nucleotide ribosomal RNA is filed under the name uncultured bacterium. Its description in RNAcentral is "bacterial SSU rRNA". It matches the Rfam family "Bacterial small subunit ribosomal RNA", at positions 56 to 956 of the family's 1533-position model. The record is from RNAcentral.